RNAcentral lists this non-coding RNA (21 nucleotides) under Caenorhabditis elegans. The record is from RNAcentral. Lineage: Eukaryota; Metazoa; Nematoda; Chromadorea; Rhabditida; Rhabditidae.
UUCCUUCAGAGUUUUUUUCCA